GCGGCUUCCAGCUGCGCACGGGGCUCCGUCUGCGCCUCCGUCUGUCCAGCUCUGUCUCCAGGGAGAGACUGAACACAUGUGAAGAUCUUUCUGGCCUCAACUGGCUUUUCUUUCUUUUACUCUGAGCACUAAUGGUGAGGAGUCCGGUGACCACAGGUACGGUCUGGUGCCACUACCGUGAUCUGGGCUCAGGCGCCAGCAGUCGUAUCCACCUUUGAUUGUGCACCGUCAGUGCGAACGUCAGCGCAGUGAAGGGACUAGGAACCGCCCAGUCCUGCUAUGAAACGCUUGUCCCUCCACGCGCCCUGGAGAGGUCUGUGGACCCCCAGUGCCUGGAGACUCCACUGUGGUCACUCUGAGGACCGGGGCUGGGGGGUGGCCAGCAACCGUGCCGUUUGCCCCUAGCGCUGCCUUCCCGUCCGUUUGAGUAUUACCUGUUCUUUGCGUUGAGCCUCAUCACUCAGAAGCCACUCCCCGGAGCCCUGCACGUUCGUCCUUCAGACUGUGUCUAUUUCAUCCUGGUGGACAGGUACCUCUCAUGGUUCCUGCCCACAGAAGGCAAUGUGCUCCCCCUACUCUCCUCCAGUCCGGGGGCCCCCAGCCCCUCACCAGCUCCCAGGCCAAAUAGCAUUCCAUGGCGUGUAGACCCCACCUUUUCCUUAUCCAGUCUCCUGUCAACGAGCGUUAAGCUGUCUCCGUGUCUUGGCUUUUGUGAAGGAUGCUGCAGUCACACGGGGCAGAGAUCUCUCCGAGAGGCUCCUUUCGAUUUUUUGGACAUGUACCCACAAGUGGGGUUGCUGGGUCGUGCUAAGUGAAAUGGACCAGUCACCGAAGGACCAGUACUGUGUGAUUCCGCUCAGGGGCUGCUCUGCACCUGCCAGCACGGCUCCCGUCUCUGAUUCCGAGAGUCCUGGUGUGGACAAGACAGAGAGGUCAUCUGGUCAGUCCUUCUCACUUUCCCGAAGGCCCCUGGGACAUUAGUUCCCAUCCUCCACACAAGGAAAUCGAGUCUCAUAGAGGUGAUAUGACCUGCCUAGAGUCACACAGCACAGAAGUGGACGAGAUGUAAUUUGAACCAGGUUCCUGGAUUCCAAAUGCCAGAGAUAUGACCGCCACACUGUCGCACUGCCCAAGGCAGGUGCUGUUUAUUGAGUCCUACUAUGUGCUUGGGACUGGGCGAGGCUGGGAGAUACAGAGAUGAGAAGGCAGACCAUUCUGUGGUGUUUUUCAUGUGUCCUCUCCCCUGGGAACCUGGGAGCCAUGUAUCUCCAACACCUCGCACAGAGCUUGGCCCACAGCAGGGCUUCAGUGAAUGUUGGCUGAAGAAUGAAUGAACUGCUGCAAAUGAUAGAAGAAUAAGCAUAUUUUGUGAUUUCUCUGGGGUCUGUCCCCUUGACACUGUGUUCCCAGCACCUGGCACCAUGCCUGGUAGUGGCUCCGUAGGGAGACCAACUGGACCCUGACUCAGGCUUGGACUCCUGCCGAGUGGGUGUUCCUGCACAGCCACAGCACUUCUUGAAGCCUCAGUGUCCUCAUCUGCUCAGUGGGGAUAAUAAUUGCAUCUACUUCAGAGGAUCAGGGAGAUCGCCCAAGUGAAUGCCUGUGUGACAGCACAGGGCCCUCCCAGGAAAAGGCGUCCACUACUGAGCAGUCUCUCUUCUACCUAUCCUGUACCGCUUGGGCAACUGGGUGUGCGGCCAGAGAUGUAAGGAGAACUCUGAAGGGUCCCUGGGCCCAGGGAGGGAACCCCAGGAAGGAAACACUUGUAGGGGCCCCUCCCCAAGGACGGACUUCAGCCCUCCCAGGAGAGGGUGUGGUUGCAGAGAAGGUCUGCAGGUUCCCGGGCCAGACCUGGUGCACAGUCUCUGGGCUGCAGGUGGCACCCCUGCAGGGAGCAGGUGAGAUGCAGCUGAUGCGGGGUGCACAGGAGGGGCUGGGGCGCCACUGUGGAUGGGAGGCCUGGAGCCUGUGGUGUUCUUGGGAGGGCUGGGGCAGGUGUCACCAGGCCAUGUGGGGGCUGUGAGGUUGCCCAGGGACCAUGCAUUCUGUGUGUGGGGCUGGGGCAGAGCCAGCUGGGAAGAGAGUGGCCUGUCUGCAGAUGUGGCCCCUGGGGUUGGGGGUGUCUGCAGUCACAGAGCCUUUCCAUGCAGGGUCUCACGAACCUGUGCCCUGAUCUGCACCUGCAGUGACUCCACCUGAUCCUGCCCCCCACACACCUGGAACUUGCCCUUGGCUCCAGAAUCAAAUCCAGACUCCUCCCUGGGUCUGUGGGGUCCCGGCCCACCUCCCUAUCUGACCUCCUCUCCCACGGCCGCCCCUCUUCACUCAGGCGCCUUUUGCUUUCCUCCUUUGAGACUUGUCCUUUCUCACCUCAGGGCCUGUGCCCUCCCUGCUCCCCCUCCUGGCAGCUCUCCCCAUCUCCAGCCGGAUCACAAGUUCCUCCUUUGCCAUCCCCUGCACCUCAGAUUCCUGGGCUCAGCUCCCUCGCAGCACCACCCUCCCUCAGAACCCACGUCCAGCCGCUGCUCCACACCGAGCUGCUCAAGCCUUUGCCUGCUGCCUGGACCCCCACUCUCUGUAGACCCAGAGGAGGGACCAAGGUUCUCUUGCUCACUGCUGGGUCCCCAGUUCCGACGCCAGCACUGUCACAAACAGAUGUUCGAGAAAGAUGCUUUAACUUCAUCUUCUUUCAAAUAAACUCUUUGUUUUGGAGUAACUUUAGAAUUAUGGAAAAGUUGCAAAGACAGUACAAGGAGCUUCUGUGUCCCCUCACCCAGUCUCUGUUAUGAGCACCUCAUGUCACCAUAUACAUCUGUCACAACUCAGAGACUCACGUGGGUCCUUUUCCAUCAGCUCAACUCCAGACCUCAUUGUACCAGCUGUUCCAUUUCCUUUUCCUUUGCAGGAUCCAGCCCAGGGCGCCACACUGUUUAGUUGUCAUGCUACCGCGGGUCCUCUGGUCUGGACAGUUUCUCCUUCCUUCCUUGUUUUUCCUCACCUCUACAGUUUUG
RNAcentral lists this long non-coding RNA (3011 nucleotides) under Equus asinus (donkey). RNAcentral describes it as "lncRNA (ENSEASG00005024164.1)". The record is from RNAcentral. Lineage: Eukaryota; Metazoa; Chordata; Mammalia; Perissodactyla; Equidae.